CGCUACGCGUUGUAAACUUCUUUUCUCUUAGAAAAAACUACUUGGUUUCGUACCGAGACUGAUUGUACAAGAGGAAUAAGCAUCGGCUAACUUCGUGC
RNAcentral lists this ribosomal RNA (98 nucleotides) under uncultured bacterium. RNAcentral describes it as "partial 16S ribosomal RNA". The record is from RNAcentral.